UCAAAUCUUCCUUACAAUCCGAAGACGUAAUGUGGACCGAACCAAAGUAGGGAAGCGUGUGAGCCAUGUGCCAAGAAAAGCCGCUAUUGUGAUACACAUACCCGUACCGUAAACCGACACAGGUGGAUGAGGAGAGAAUCCUAAGGCCGACGGAAGAAGCAUUGUUAAGGAACUCGGCAAAAUGACCCCGUAACUUCGGGAGAAGGGGUGCCCUGUGAAAGCAGGGCCGCAGAGAAUAGGCUCAAGCAACUGUUUAGCAAAAACACAGGUCUAUGCGAAACCGAAAGGUGAGGUAUAUGGGCUGACGCCUGCCCGGUGCUGGAAGGUUAAGAGGAGAAGUCAGGCAACGAAGCUUCGAAUUUAAGCCCCAGUAAACGGCGGCCGUAACUAUAACGGUCCUAAGGUAGCGAAAUUCCUUGUCGGGUAAGUUCCGACCCGCACGAAAGGCGUAAUGAUUUGAGCACUGUCUCGACAAUGCAUCCGGUGAAAUUGAAGUACCAGUGAAGAUGCUGGUUACCUGCGCCAGGACGGAAAGACCCCAUGGAGCUUUACUCCAGCUUGAUACUGGGAUUCGAUACUGUAUGUACAGGAUAGGUGGGAGACGUUGAACAUAGAACGCCAGUUUUAUGUGAGUCGCUGUUGGGAUACCACCCUUGCAGUAUUGGAUUUCUAACCUGCACCCAUGACCUGGGUGGGGGACAAUGUCUGGCGGGGAGUUUGACUGGGGCGGUCGCCUCCGAAAGGGUAUCGGAGGCGCUCAAAGGUUCCCUCAGAAUGGUUGGAAACCAUUCGAAGAGUGCAAAGGCAGAAGGGAGCUUGACUGUGACACCGACGGGUGGAACAGGUACGAAAGUAGGACUUAGUGAUCCGGUGGUAUAAAGUGGGAUUGCCAUCGCUCAACGGAUAAAAGCUACCCUGGGAUAACAGGCUUAUCACUCCCAAGAGUUCACAUCGACGGAGUGGUUUGGCACCUCGAUGUCGGCUCAUCGCAUCCUGGGGCUGUAGCAGGUCCCAAGGGUUGGGCUGUUCGCCCAUUAAAGCGGUACGCGAGCUGGGUUCAGAACGUCGUGAGACAGUUCGGUCCCUAUCCGGCGCAGGCGGAGGAUAUUUGAGAGGAGCUGUCCUUAGUACGAGAGGACCGGGAUGGACGGACCACUGGUGUAUCUGUUGGCUAUCAGAGCCAUGGCAGAGUAGCCAAGUCCGGCAGGGAUAAACGCUGAAGGCAUCUAAGCGUGAAGCCCCCCUCAAGAUGAGAUAUCCCUCAGAAAUGAGUAAGACCCCUUGAAGACUACGAGGUAGAUAGGAAUGAGGUGUAAGCACAGCAAUGUGUUCAGCUGACAUUUACUAAUCGGUCGAGGGCUUGACAG
RNAcentral lists this ribosomal RNA (1367 nucleotides) under metagenome. RNAcentral describes it as "bacterial LSU rRNA". It matches the Rfam family "Bacterial large subunit ribosomal RNA", at positions 1537 to 2925 of the family's 2925-position model. The record is from RNAcentral.